RNAcentral lists this unclassified non-coding RNA (445 nucleotides) under Hevea brasiliensis (rubber tree). Lineage: Eukaryota; Viridiplantae; Streptophyta; Magnoliopsida; Malpighiales; Euphorbiaceae. The record is from RNAcentral.
GCAGUUUUGGUGCUUAAAGAGCUUGUUUCAUCGGAUCAAAAUAAACUGCAGGUUUUAUCAGCAAUUGAUGGAGCCACAGAAGGAUUAUUUGAGCUGAUUAAGGAACCCAUUUGCCCGACAGCAACAAAAGCUUCUCUAGUGACCAUUUAUCACAUGGUCACAACAACACCUACAAAUGUGAAGGCCAUUGCCAAAUUUGUAGAUAUGGGUUUGGUCUCAUUACUGAUAGAGAUGCUCGUAGAUAGCGAAAGAAGCAUAUGUGAGAAAUCGUUGGGCGUUCUCGACGGAAUCUGUAGCUGUGAUCAAGGGAGAGAAGAGGCGAAUGAUCAUUCUUUAACUGUCCCAGUUCUAGUCAAGAAAAUACAUAGAGUUUCAGACAUGGCAACGGAGUUCUCAGUCUCCGUUUUAUGGAAGAUUUGCAAGGCUGAAAAGAGGCAAGAAGGAG